This is a long non-coding RNA of Numida meleagris (helmeted guineafowl), 717 nucleotides long. RefSeq lists it as uncharacterized. The transcript has 3 exons. NCBI's taxonomy places the organism in Eukaryota, Metazoa, Chordata, Aves, Galliformes, Numididae. The record is from RefSeq and is a predicted model, not a curated record.
UGUAAAGGCUUGUUUAGAUUCCAAACAUGUUUUCCUUAAGUAAAUCCAUAUCUAAUAACAACAGUUAUAUUCUCUGUUUCUUGCUCUGUAGUGAAAGGUGGAGCACUGUUUUCUCUUAGACCUCAUAUCGGCUUUACAGGUGCUCAAAGAUGUCAUCAACAGAUAUUAAAGGUGAUACACCACAAAAUAAAAGAGGCCAAGGUGCAGUACUGCUUGGGGAAUACAAAAGCUUUAGGUUUGUGCUGUGGCACUAAGGGGAUGAACUGUGAAUUUACCAUUAAGGAAUGGAUGGAGUGUGUGGGGGUCAGUGGCUUUUGAGCUGAAAUCCUCCUCAGCUGUACACCGUGGGACUGUUUGGUGGAGCAGACGGUGUCCUUAAACGGUGGGCUUCUUGGAGCUUUGAAGAUAUGGGGCGGCGGGCAGACACUAUGCAUCACGGAGAGAUGAGCAUCGCAAACAUGCUUUGCAGGGAAGGCAACCACAGCAGACUGCCAAUGCUCUUCCAGCGCCAAUUACAGCGAUGGUUUAAUCGUAAAAGCUGCUUCGUUAAAAUGAGAUCAGAGCCAAAGCGUUUGUGAUUUGGAGGCUUGUACUAACUUUUGGUAGUUAUCAUUGGGGGCAGCUGAUGUGACAUCACCCUACAACUCUAUGCGACUCGUAUUUUUAAUGGCCCACAGGCCUCUACAUGAUGAUUUUGCUGCUAGAGUUAGCUCAAGA